RNAcentral lists this ribosomal RNA (501 nucleotides) under uncultured bacterium. Its description in RNAcentral is "bacterial SSU rRNA". It matches the Rfam family "Bacterial small subunit ribosomal RNA", at positions 29 to 507 of the family's 1533-position model. The record is from RNAcentral.
AACGAACGCUGGCGGCGUGGAUAAGACAUGCAAGUCGAACGGAAGAUCUUUGGAGCUUGCUUUAAGGGUCUUUAGUGGCGAACGGGUGAGUAACACGUGAGCAACCUGCCUGGAAGUGGGGGAUAGCCCGGGGAAACUCGGAUUAAUACCGCGUGUGGUUCUGCAGGACAUCCUGUGGAAACUAAAGGUGGCGCAAGCUGCCGCUUCCAGAUGGGCUCGCGGCCUAUCAGCUUGUUGGUGAGGUAACGGCUCACCAAGGCUCCGACGGGUAACUGGUCUGAGAGGAUGAUCAGUCACACUGGAACUGAGACACGGUCCAGACACCUACGGGUGGCAGCAGUCGAGAAUCAUUCGCAAUGGGCGAAAGCCUGACGGUGCGACGCCGCGUGGAGGAUGACGGCCCUCGGGUUGUAAACUCCUGUCAUCAGAGAGUAAGGCUCUUGCGAGUAACUGCGCAGGAGAUUGAUAGUAUCUGAAGAGGAAGGGACGGCUAACUUCGUG